RNAcentral lists this ribosomal RNA (468 nucleotides) under uncultured bacterium. RNAcentral describes it as "partial 16S ribosomal RNA". It matches the Rfam family "Bacterial small subunit ribosomal RNA", at positions 28 to 507 of the family's 1533-position model. The record is from RNAcentral.
GACGAACGCUGGCGGCGUGCCUAAUACAUGCAAGUCGAGCGGACAGGCGCUGCUUUUGCUGGUUUCUCGUGUGGCGCACGGGUGUGUAUCACGCGUGUAUCCUGCCCCUGUCUUUGUGGUAUCUUUAGGGAACUCCGGCUCAUACCGCGUAGGAGCUCUUGAUGCGUGGUGGGGGAUGGUGAGUGUCGGCGGUUGGGGCUGGUCUCGAUGGUUAUCCGCUUGUUUGUGAGGUUGUGGCGUACCAAGGCUUUGACGGGUAGCCGGCCUAAGAGGGUGACCGGCGACAUGGGGACUACGAGACGCACCAGACUGCUACGGGAGGCAGCAGGGGAGAAUAUUGCACAGUGGGCGGAAGCGAGAUACAGCGACGCCGCGUGCGUGAUGACGGCCUACGGGGUGUAAACCGCUUUCGCCGGAGACGAAGCGGGAGUGACGGUAAUGGGUAAAAAAGCACCGGCUAACUACGUG